RNAcentral lists this ribosomal RNA (484 nucleotides) under uncultured bacterium. RNAcentral describes it as "partial 16S ribosomal RNA". It matches the Rfam family "Bacterial small subunit ribosomal RNA", at positions 30 to 507 of the family's 1533-position model. The record is from RNAcentral.
AUUGAACGCUGGCGGCAGGCCUAACACAUGCAAGUCGAGCGGAUGAAGGUAGCUUGCUCCUGGAUUCAGCGGCGGACGCGUGUGUAAAGCCUAGGAAUCUGCUUGGCAUUGGUGGAUGAUGUCCGCAAGCGAGCGCUACUACCACCUACGUCCUGAGCGAGAAAGUGGGGGAUCUUCGGACCUCACGCUAUCAGAUGAGUCUAGGUCGGGUUUGCUAGUUGGUGGGGUAAAGGCCUACCAAGGCGGCGAUCCGCGACUGGUCUGAGAGGCUGAUCGGUCACACUGGAGCUGAGACGCGCACCAGACUCCUAAGGUAGGCAGCAGUGGGGAAUGUGGGGCAAUAGUCGAGAGCCUUACCCAGCCAGGCCGCGUGUGUGGAGAAGGUCUUCGGAUCGUAAAGCCCGUUUAGUGGGGGUAAACGGCAGUAGCUUGAUACGUUGCUGUAUUGACGUUACCAGCAAAAUAAGCACCGGCUAACUACGUG